UUUUUUAUACCCUUGCUCCAUUUCCAUUAUGUCCAUUUGUUCCAUUUACCCCAAUAGACAUCUUUUGAGAAGCAGCAGAUUUCUUCCUCUUCACAGCUAGAUACCAGAUCUGGGACGGCACAAGGAUAUAAUUUGUACUAACUGAACAUUAUUAGAUGUGGGGCAGGAAGUUCUAAAGAUUCAAAGCACAUUUUAAUCAGAAAAAGAUUACAUCUAAUAAAUUGGUUAAAGCAAAAUUUUAAUUAGAAGUUAAAGAAACAAAACAUUAUAAUAAUUUUGAGCACGCAACAUUUUCAAUUGAGUUUGAACCUUAACUUUACUGUAUAUCUACGAUAUUUCCCUAUAACCCAAUAAAUAAAUUGAUAGCUACUGAAUAUACGAAUUAAUGGUAAACAAAUAGCCCAAUUUACAUUUCACACAAUAUUCCCCCGCAAAUCUGAUAACAAUCCAACAAAUAAAAAUCAAUAAAUGAUACCUCUUAGAUGUCUCAAGCGCUGAUUUGGGUCGUUAGGCUAGUGGGCCCGAUGACUGAGGGCUGAUUGAAGGUGGCGGGACAGUAAUAUGGUGGCGGAAGUUGCAACCGAGUAGAAGAAGAGCAAAGUGAGAAGAAGAAAGAAGCGUGGCAAAGAAGGAAAACUUUGGAAGAAAAGAAAAAGUAAAAGAAAAGGUAGGG
Molecule: long non-coding RNA, 673 nt
Filed under: Olea europaea (common olive)
Lineage: Eukaryota; Viridiplantae; Streptophyta; Magnoliopsida; Lamiales; Oleaceae
Description: long non-coding RNA (OEUR_LNC001001)
Source: RNAcentral